AUUGAACGCUGGCGGCAUGCUUUACACAUGCAAGUCGAACGGUAACAAGCCGCAAGGUGCUGACGAGUGGCGAACGGGUGAGUAAUGCACCGGAACGUGCCCAGUCGUGGGGGAUAACACAGCGAAAGCUGUGCUAAUACCGCAUACGAUCUAUGGAUGAAAGCGGGGACCGUAAGGCCUCGCGCGAUUGGAGCGGCCGAUGUCAGAUUAGCUAGUUGGUGGGGUAAAGGCCCACCAAGGCGACGAUCUGUAGCUGGUCUGAGAGGACGACCAGCCACACUGGGACUGAGACACGGCCCAGACGCCUACGGGAGGCAGCAGUGGGGAAUUUUGGACAAUGGGCGCAAGCCUGAUCCAGCAAUGCCGCGUGCAGGAAGAAGGCCUUCGGGUUGUAAACUGCUUUUGUACGGAACGAAACGGUCUGGGUUAAUACCUCGGGCUAAUGACGGUACCGUAAGAAUAAGCACCGGCUAACUACGUGCCAGCAGCCGCCGUAA
This 497-nucleotide ribosomal RNA is filed under the name uncultured bacterium. Its description in RNAcentral is "partial 16S ribosomal RNA". It matches the Rfam family "Bacterial small subunit ribosomal RNA", at positions 30 to 523 of the family's 1533-position model. The record is from RNAcentral.